GAAGUUUUAGGGCUGUCUUAAG
This 22-nucleotide microRNA is filed under the name Monodelphis domestica (gray short-tailed opossum). RNAcentral describes it as "mdo-miR-7296-5p". The record is from miRBase by way of RNAcentral. Lineage: Eukaryota; Metazoa; Chordata; Mammalia; Didelphimorphia; Didelphidae.